UAAAAAGAUGCAAAGAGAGUCUCUGGUGAG
RNAcentral lists this non-coding RNA (30 nucleotides) under Mus musculus (house mouse). Lineage: Eukaryota; Metazoa; Chordata; Mammalia; Rodentia; Muridae. The record is from RNAcentral.